CUAGUGUUAGGGUUUGGCUAGGGUUACUAUUAAGCUAGUAUUAGGGUUGGGCUAGGUUUACUAUCAUCCAAGUGUUAAGGUUGGGCUAGGGUUAUGAUUAUGCUAGGGUUAGGGUCUGGCUAGGGUUACUCUUGUGCUAGAGUAUGGGUUUGGCUAGGGAUACUAUAAUGCGAGUGUUUGUGUUGGGCUAGAGUUACUUUAAUGCAAGUGUUAGGGAUUGCCUAGUGUUACUAUUAUGCUAGGGUUAGGGACGGGUUAAGAUUCACUAUUAGACUAAAACGUGUCAUGAAAAUUAGACAAAAUUAGACAGUGAUUUGUGAGUUUGUUUCUAUGACAGGGCUUACUAAAAGACACC
Ictalurus punctatus (channel catfish) is the source of this 355-nucleotide long non-coding RNA. The record is from Ensembl. NCBI's taxonomy places the organism in Eukaryota, Metazoa, Chordata, Actinopteri, Siluriformes, Ictaluridae.